GACGGAGGGUGCAAACGUUGUUCGGAAUCACUGGGCAUAAAGAGCACGUAGGCUGCGCGCUAAGUCAGGUGUGAAAUCCCCCGGCUCAACCGGGGAACUGCACCUGAUACUGGCGUGCUCGAGGACGGUAGGGGUGAGUGGAACUCCAGGUGGAGCGGUGAAAUGCGUAGAGAUCGGAAAGAACACCAACGGCGAAAGCACUCUGCUGGGCCGACACUGACACUGAGAGACGAAAGCUAGGGGAGCGAAUGGG
RNAcentral lists this ribosomal RNA (253 nucleotides) under uncultured bacterium. Its description in RNAcentral is "partial 16S ribosomal RNA". It matches the Rfam family "Bacterial small subunit ribosomal RNA", at positions 524 to 776 of the family's 1533-position model. The record is from RNAcentral.